GGUCCACAACCAUUUUAUCCAUUAAAAAAUUAAUAUCAUAUUUAUUUGAAAGGGUAUACAAUUAGACAAUUCGCAUUUGAUACAAGGAGAUUACAAAUCAUUAUUGACCGUUAAAUGUAAACUCAGGUACAUGGGAUGUAUCAUUGAUUGGCCAAUGAGCCCAAAACAAAAUUUCUCAAAUAUUCUAACAGACUUCAAUCUGGAGGAUUUCGGAUAAGAAUAAUUGUAAACUCCUUGUAUGAAAAAGAGAACAGCUUUAUAAGAUACAAUCAUUUGCUAUGUUGGAACCAAUGUUUCGAAAAACGGAUUGAUGAUCUUCCAUAUUAGCGGAUCGGCCAGAUUCAACCUUAAAACAUUUUUAAAAAAUCACAAAAUAUCCUUUAAAAUUUAGCUUUUUAGGUUUUUUUUAAAAAAGGUUAUUGUAUUGAUUAUUUUACUUUAAUACAAUAACCUUUUUUUAGAAAGAAUCCUAAAAAUAUGUAUAUAACGAAAAUGUUUCUCAACCCUAAGUUUUUGUUGUCCAUUACAUUCAUUUUAUGGUCAAAUAAUGAAN
This 553-nucleotide long non-coding RNA is filed under the name Amborella trichopoda. RNAcentral describes it as "long non-coding RNA (ATRI_LNC000161)". Lineage: Eukaryota; Viridiplantae; Streptophyta; Magnoliopsida; Amborellales; Amborellaceae. The record is from RNAcentral.